Molecule: unclassified non-coding RNA, 1798 nt
Filed under: Hevea brasiliensis (rubber tree)
Lineage: Eukaryota; Viridiplantae; Streptophyta; Magnoliopsida; Malpighiales; Euphorbiaceae
Source: RNAcentral
CUCACUUUUUCCCAAUAAAGAUACUUACUUUUCUGACCCCAUUGGUCUCCAUUUUCUCAGGAAUCAGAAAGAAAACUCCAUGGCUAUUUCCUCUGUCUCUUUCCUUCACUUCAUCCUCUUCUUCCUUUCUCUCACCCCUCUAAUCUUCUCUUCACCAUCAUCAAACCUUCCACAGAACUUCAUCGUCCACGUCGCGAAAUCUCACAAGCCAAUCCUCUUCUCCUCUCACCGUGAUUGGUACACAUCAAUCGUCCGAUCCCUCCCUCCCUCCUCCCACCCCACCAAGAUCAUCUACACCUAUGGCCGCGCCAUCAAUGGCUUUUCUGCCCACCUCACUGCAGCCCAGGCAGCAGCACUCCGCCGUGUUCCUGGGGUCCUAUCCAUUGUCCCUGACCAGAUUCGCCAGCUCCACACCACCCGCACUCCUCACUUUUUAGGCCUUUCUACUGGGUCUGGCCUUUGGCCAAAUGGUGCUUAUGGUGAAGACGUGAUUAUUGGUGUUCUGGACACUGGAAUAUGGCCUGAACACCCGAGCUUCUCGGACUCUGGUCUGUCUCCUGUUCCGGAUAAUUGGAAAGGUAUCUGCGAGACAUCGUCGGAUUUUCUUGCUUCUGCUUGUAACCGGAAACUCAUCGGUGCAAGAGCCUUCUUUAAAGGGUAUGUGUCCUAUCAAGGGAAACCCAUUGAUGGAUCAAGAGAUUCAGCUUCACCCCGAGAUACAGAAGGUCAUGGCACCCAUACAGCAUCCACUGCAGCUGGGUCCUUCGUCCAUAACGCGAGCUUUUACGAAUACGCACCUGGAGAAGCUCGUGGUAUGGCCUCAAAGGCAAGAAUUGCUGCAUAUAAGAUUUGCUGGAGUCUGGGUUGCUUUGACUCUGACAUUCUUGCCGCCAUGGAUCAAGCCAUUGCAGAUGGUGUCCAUGUGAUUUCAUUAUCAGUUGGUGCCACCGGUUAUGCUCCUCAAUAUGAUCAUGAUUCGAUAGCGAUUGGGGCAUUUGGAGCAAACCAACAUGGAAUUGUUGUUUCUUGCUCUGCUGGGAAUUCAGGGCCAGAUCCUUUUACGGCCGUUAAUAUCGCACCUUGGAUUCUCACCGUUGGUGCUUCUACCAUUGACAGAGAGUUUCCAGCUGAUGUUGUGCUAGGCGAUGGAAGGAUUUUUGGUGGGGUAUCGCUCUACUCUGGUGAGCCGCUAGUGGAUGACAAGCUGCCUUUGGUGUAUGCUGGUGAUUGUGGAAGUAAAUAUUGCUUUAUGGGGAGUCUAAGUCCAUCAAAAGUUAAGGGGAAAAUUGUGGUAUGCGAUCGAGGAAUGAAUGCAAGAGUAGAGAAAGGAAGCGCAGUGAAGCUUGCAGGUGGGCUUGGAAUGAUAAUGGCAAACACUGCAGAUAGUGGUGAGGAGCUCAUUGCAGACUCUCAUCUUAUACCAGCUACUAUAGUAGGCGAAAUUGCUGGAAAUCAGAUUCGACAAUAUAUCAAAUUGAGUCAAUUUCCUACUGCAACAAUUGUUUUCCAUGGAACUGUAAUUGGGACUUCACCGCCUGCUCCUAAAGUUGCAGCCUUUUCUAGCCGUGGUCCAAACCAUUUGACACCACAGAUUUUGAAGCCAGAUGUUAUAGCUCCUGGAGUUAAUAUCCUGGCUGGCUGGACGGGAGCUUCGGCUCCAACAGAUUUGGACAUUGAUCCUAGAAGAGUUGUGUUUAACAUAAUCUCAGGGACAUCAAUGUCCUGCCCCCAUGUCAGUGGAAUCGCUGCUUUGCUUCGAAAGGCAUACUCAAAUUGGUCACCUGCUGCUAUAAAAUCU